AGAGUUUGAUCAUGGCUCAGAAUCAACGCUGGCGGGNNNUUAACACAUGCAAGUCGCACGAGAAAGCAGGAGCAAUCUUGUGAGUAAAGUGGCGUACGGGUGAGUAACACGUGGAUCAUCUACCUUCUAGUGGGGAAUACCUCUGGGAAACCGGAGAUAAUUCCGCAUAAGCUCGUGAGAGGAAAGCCGAAAGGNNCUGGAAGAGGAGUCCGCGGCUGAUUAGCUAGAUGGCGGGGUAACGGCCCACCAUGGCGAAGAUCGGUAGCCGGCCUGAGAGGGCACACGGCCACACUGGCACUGAAACACGGGCCAGACUCCUACGGGAGGCAGCAGUGGGGAAUCUUGCACAAUGGAGGCAACUCUGAUGCAGCGACGCCGCGUGAGCGAUGAAACCCUUCGGGGUGUAAAGCUCUUUCGACGGGAAAGAUUAUGACGGUACCCGGAGAAGAAGCUGCGGCUAACUACGUGCCAGCAGCCGCGGUAAUACGUAGGCAGCGAGCGUUGUUCGGAAUUACUGGGCGUAAAGAGUGUGUAGGCGGUGUUCCAAGUCUGGUGUGAAAUCUCCCGGCUUAACUGGGAGGGUGCGCCGGAAACUGGAAUGCUCGAGGGUGGGAGAGGUAAGCGGAAUUCCUGGUGUAGCGGUGAAAUGCGUAGAUAUCAGGAGGNNNNNCCUGUGGUGUAGACAGCUUACUGGACCACUUCUGACGCUGAGACACGAAAGCGUGGGUAGCAAACAGGAUUAGAUACCCUAGUAGUCC
This 758-nucleotide ribosomal RNA is filed under the name uncultured bacterium. Its description in RNAcentral is "bacterial SSU rRNA". It matches the Rfam family "Bacterial small subunit ribosomal RNA", at positions 8 to 796 of the family's 1533-position model. The record is from RNAcentral.